Molecule: long non-coding RNA, 660 nt
Filed under: Canis lupus familiaris (dog)
Lineage: Eukaryota; Metazoa; Chordata; Mammalia; Carnivora; Canidae
Description: lncRNA (ENSCAFG00040000570.1)
Source: RNAcentral
CAAGAAGAAAAAGAAAUCAAAGAGCCAGGAUUGCUGAUAUGGACAUGCCAUCAGUGAUAGCUGGUUCUUAUAAGACUUGGGGAUGAAGCUAAGUUGCCCUUAGCCCCAUGGGUGAGGUCGUGGAUGUCUGCUGGGAUUACCAUAGUACACUGCAUAUCACCUUCUUUGUAUGUGCUUCGGACCCCAGAGGGACAUCAGGACAAAGGGAAGGACAGGCCUCAGGCAAGAGGUUCAGAGAUGUUCCACAAGGGGACCCAGGUUCCCAGGGAAGAGAAGGGGGAAAGACACAACUCCCAGAAGGCGAUGGAUAGGGAAAUGCAGGGCCAGGAGAAAAUUAACAGAAGAGAGGCCACAUUCCCUCUUCCCAGGCUGGCCCAGUGUGAUUUCCUGACUCACCUGCCCUCUGGCUUCCCUACCAAUUGGUCUAGUUGGAGGCAGUGUUGGAAGAUCAGAGGUGAGAACAGGAGAGCAGAGGCCCACCAGGCAAUGGCUUUACCCAUGGCUGGUCACCAGUCUAUACAUUUUACAAAGAACAUGGAGAGCUCUGGUUAAUCUGGCUACUCAAUCAAACAUAGGGUUGGAAGGGAAGGACUCCCAGAUGGUGGAAGUUUUAAAUGGAAUGAACCAGAUUUCUGUGACUUUGCAUGGGAGAGACUUCCA